GGCAUAGUAAUUUAAUAUAAAAUACUGGUCUUGUAAAUCAGAAAUAAGUUACACUUCUAAGCCA
RNAcentral lists this transfer RNA (64 nucleotides) under Octolasmis warwickii. Its description in RNAcentral is "tRNA-Thr". It matches the Rfam family "tRNA". From Rfam's summary of the family: Transfer RNA (tRNA) molecules are approximately 80 nucleotides in length. Their secondary structure includes four short double-helical elements and three loops (D, anti-codon, and T loops). Further hydrogen bonds mediate the characteristic L-shaped molecular structure. tRNAs have two regions of fundamental functional importance: the anti-codon, which is responsible for specific mRNA codon recognition, and the 3' end, to which the tRNAs corresponding amino acid is attached (by aminoacyl-tRNA synthetases). tRNAs cope with the degeneracy of the genetic code in two manners: having more than one tRNA (with a specific anti-codon) for a particular amino acid; and 'wobble' base-pairing, i.e. permitting non-standard base-pairing at the 3rd anti-codon position. Lineage: Eukaryota; Metazoa; Arthropoda; Thecostraca; Poecilasmatidae. The record is from RNAcentral.